AAUUCAUCAUGGUAUCAGAGCAUUGAAUUGAUAAUUGUUUGAUUCACUGCAAUCGAUCCUGAAAACCCCCAUUGAAGAAACAUAGAGUUUUGAUAGCUGACAAUGCCUUCUGCAAUUGAAGAAGUAGCAGCUGCAACUGUUACAAUAAAGACACUUUAAGUAAUUGAAUCAAAGAGGAAUCAUCCUCUUUACCUCCAUCCAUCGGACACUCCAGGCUGUGCUUUAACCUCGGGUCAACUCACUAGAGCAGAGAAUUAUGCAUUAUGGAGUAGAUACAUGUUAAUCACUCUUAGGGCAAAUAGUAAGAUCGGUUUUGUACUCGGAACAUGCAGAAAAAAAGAUUAUGCACCGAAAUUGGAGGAGCAAUGGGAGAAAUGCAAUGCAUUUCUGCUCGCCUGGAUUAUGAACAGAGUCUCAAAAAAAUUAUUGAGUGGAAUUGUUUAUGUUUCAGAUGCUGUAAUGGUAUGGGCAGAUCUGAAGGAGCAAUUUAAUAAAGUUGAUGGUUCAAGGACAUAUCAGCUUCACAGGGAAAUUUGCACGAUAAAUCAAGGUAACAUGUCUGUUCCAGCUUAUUUUUCGAAGUUAUGAUUGCUUUAGGAUGAAUUUGAUGCUCUUGUACCCCCUCCAGCAUGUAAUUGCGAAAGAUCUAGAAUGUAUAUGGAUCAUGUACAUUAUCUUUGAUUGUUUUCUUUUCUAAUGGGAUUGAAUGAGACGUAUGGGCAUGCACGUAGUCAAAUCUUAAUGUUGAGUCCAUUAGCAAGUGUAAGCAAGGUGUAUGCAAUCAUAAUGUCAGAUGAGAGUCAGAGAAUUACCUCGACGAUGCGUACUAGAGAAGAUAUGGUGGAUAACACAACACUGCUUGCAGGGAGAGGAACCUAUAAUUGAACUGAUGGUGAUAGGUCUGAAUCAUCCAUGAACACCGGUAGAGGAUACUAUAAUGCUAAGAAGAAGGUGAAUCAGAAUCUAUUUUGUGAUCAUUGUAAGAUGCAUCGCCACGCUCAAAAGGUGUGUUUCAAACUGGUUUGAUAUCUAGAAGACUGGAAGUUUAAAAGGAAGCCAGCAGGGUAACAUAAUGAGCAAAACUUCACAAACUCGACUAGAGGUAUCAAUGUAACUAGAGGAAGAGGCAUUGCAAAUAAUGUACAGGUUUCUAGAGAAGAUGAGACUGCAGAUGUGUUUGGACUAGUUGAGAUAGGACAGAAGUCUACACAUGAUCCUUAUGACCUUAAUUCCAUUCGAACUAACCUACAGACACUUGCUGCACAACCAAACUUUACUUCAAAGCAAUAUCAGAAGAUAGUACAACUUCUAAAUAAAGAGGAGAAGGCUGCUGAGAUGGUCAACAUGGUAGGGAAUUCCUAUGGUAAAAUUCUUUCAGCAUCCACUAGAGGGAAGGAUUAUGUGGCUAUCAUGAAUGAUAGGAAUGACACACUAAAUAGUGGAAUAAUUGGAUAGUUGACUCUGUGGAAACAUGCCACAUGACUUCUCACCUUGAUAAAUUGGAUCAUAUCAAUUCAUCUGACAGAAACAUAGGUAAGAAAGUAUAUCUUCCUAAUGGGCAAACUACUUUAGUUACUCAUUCAGGUAGUUGUGUGAUACCAGCAGCAGGGGUAUUAGAAAAUGUUUUGGUGGUACAUGAUUUCAAAUACGACUUACUUUUAAUGGCUUAGCUGACUAGACAACUCAAAUGUUCUAUCCAUUUUGAUCCUGAAUUUUGUGUUUUUCAGGACCUCUUCAAUGGAGAAGUGAAGGGAAUUGGUAAGGAGGUAUAUGGGUUGUACUACUUUUCCAGUUAAUUCUCUUCUUCAAACACAACUGCUGAUGAUGAAAAGGUGGUGUUAAUGACAAAGAUAUGUGAAUCACAAUGCAUAGUAUGGCAUAAUAGAAUGGGUCAUCCAUCUAUAAGAACUUUAAGACAAUUGUCCUUAGUUAAGAAAGAGUCAUAUGUUAAAUUGUGUGAAAAUUGUCCGGUGUGUCCUUUUGCAAAACAAACAAGGCUUCCAUUUCCUGUAAAUGUGUCGAGAAUAGGUGAUAUCUUUGAUCUUAUUCAUCUUAAUGUAUGGGAACCAUAUAGAUUUUCUACACAUAAUGGUUUUAGAAUUUUUUUUCUCACCAUUGUGGAUGACAAUUCAAGAAUGACUUGGUUGUUUCUAAUAAAAUACAAAAGUGAUGUAUUUGGUGUUCUGAAAUCCUUCUUUUCAUUGGUUCAAAUCAAUUUGAUAAAUAAGUAAGAAGAAUUAGACCUGACAAUGAAACUGAGGUUUUUAAUAGAGAUUGCAAUUCAUUAUUCUCUUAUUUGGGUAUAAUACAGGAGAGCAGUUGUCCUCAUGCCCCUCAACAAAAUAGGGUGGCAGAGAGGAAACAUAGACACAUACUUGAGGUAGCAAGAGCUUUCAGGUUUCAGGGAUCCAUUCCUAUUAGAUUUUGGGGAGAAUGUGCAGAAACAGUUGUAUACUUGAUCAACAUAAUGCCUACUGAGGUGUUACAAGGCCAAUCACCUUACGAAAUCUUUCAUAAGGUUAAAUCAUCCCUUGAUCAUUUGAGAACCAUGGGUUGUUUAUGUUAUGCCACCAAAGUUGUGAAGGUUGAUAAGUUUUCCUCUAGAGCAGAUGCCUGUGUCAUGAUAGGGUAUUCACCAACUCAAAAGGGGGUACUUGUUGUAUAAUCUGAGCCUUCAAAAAAUUUAUAAUAAACAGGGAUGUUGUCUUCAAGGAGCAUGUAUUUCCAUUCAGCAAAAUGAAAGAUAAAUACUUGCCAAAUUUUGUUCAACAGAUAGAUAAACUUGGAUAUGAAGAGCUUCAGAAAAGAGUUAUUACUGAUAAUGAAGUUCCCACAAACGAUGCACUUGAUCAUCAGAAUAUUAUGAAUGACCUGAACCAAGAUGUUGAGAAUGAUUCCUUGGUGAAUCAAGAUGUUGUCAAUGAUCCAAUUGUUAUUAAUGAUUCCUUGGUGAGUCAAGAUAUUGUACAUGAAGUCAGGCCUAGAACCUCCUCAAGAGUAUCUCAUCCACCUGUUUGGAUGAAAGAAUAUGUGACUAUUAUGACAGCCUCCAUGCACCCUCAUUCCUUAGCCAACUAUGCAUCCUAACAAUCACUUAUCUCCCACAUACCAAGCAUAUUUGAGUGGAAUAUCCACUGACACAGAACCAAGUAGUUAUGAAGAAGCAAUCAAAGACCCCAGAUGGGUAGAAGCCAUGAAGCACGAAAUUAGUUCAUUGGAAGACAAUGGUACAUGGAGAGUAAUGAAGUUUCCUCCCAGAAAGAAUGACAUAGGGUGUAAAUGAGUUUUUAAGAUCAAGUAUAAGGCAAAUGGUGAAAUUGAUAGAUAUAAAGCCAGACUUGUAGCAAAAGGCUAUAGCCAGACUGACGGAAUUGAUUAUCAGGAGACUUUAUCACCAGUGGUAAAAAUGGUGACGGUUAGGACCAUUAUUGUUGUUGCAGCAGCAGAGAACUAGAUGAUUUAUCAAAUGGAUGUUUUUAAUGUAUUCUUGCAAGGAGAUUUGGUUGAAGAAGUGUACAUGGAUUUGCCUAAGGGAUUCAAUAAAAGGGAAUGUAGGCUUUUUAAGUCAUUAUAUGGACUUAAGCAGGCUUUAAGACAAUGGAAUGCAAAGUUGACUGAUGCAUUGUCUAAAUCAGGCUACAUUCAGAGUCAUCUGGAUUAUUCCUUGUUUACAAAAAGGAAAGGCACAUCAUUGGUGAUUGUACUUGUAUAUGUAGAUGAUUUGUUAAUCACAGGGAAUGACUCCACAUUGAUACAAGAAACCAAAUAGGUUCUGCACAAACAUUUCAAAAUCAAAGAUUUAGAUGAGCUGAGAAAUUUUCUGGGAAUAGAAUUUUGCAGAUCAGAGAAGGGAAUUGUUAUGAACCAAAGGAAAUAUGCUUUAGAGUUGGUGUCUGAAGCUGUUCUAGCAGGGGGAGACCUUCAUCUAUACCUUUGGAAUGUAUCAUGAAACUUACUAGUGCAGAGUUUUUUGAUUCUGAUGCAUUAUUCACUGAUAUAGCUAAAUAUCAAAGGUUGAUUGGGAAGUUGCUCUAUCUUACUAACACCAGACCUAACAUAGGUUUUUCAGUUCAGUGUCUGAGUCAAUUUAUGCAGAAGCCUACUAUGUCUCACUAGAAUACAACUCUGAAAGUAGUGAGAUAUAUCAAGGCUGCACCAGGUCUAGGACUACUUAUGAGUGCCGAGAAACAAACAAACCUUACUAGCUUUUGUGAUGCAGAUUGGGCUGCACGCCCCAACACAAGAAGGUCAGUGACUGGAUUUUUACUGAAGCUUUGAUAUCUUGGAAAUCAAAGAAGCAGAACACAGUUUUCAGGAGUUCUGCAGAAGCAGAAUAUAGAAGUUUGGUUACAUUGACUGCUGAGGUGGUUUGACUGACUAAAUUGUUUAAUGAAUUGGGGCUGAGCUUAGAUAAACUUGUCACCAUUCAUUGUUAUAGCAAAGACAGAUUUACAGAUAGCAGCAAAUCCCGUGUUUCAUGAGAGGACGAAGCACAUAGAAAUUGAUUGCCACUUUAUCUGGGAAAUGAUGCAACAGGGCUUGAUAAGAACAAGUUAUAUCAGCACCAAGGAUCAACAGGCUGAUUUGUUGACAAAGGCACUUGGGAGAACUCAAUAUGAUUUUCUACUUUCCAAGCUAGGUGUUUUGAAUAUCUUCAGUAGACCUAGCUUGAGGGGGAGUAUUGAAGAUGAAGGUUCAAGUAGUUAGUUAGGUUCACAAAGUUAGUUAAGGGUUAAUUAAUUGUACUUGUCAUCAUUAUAGUCGGUUAAGUUUGUUACACAAUUCUAGAAGAUUAGAAGUAGUUAGCAAGUAGUUAGUAACUAGUACAAUUGUAUAUAUAGGAGCUCUUUCUUUCUGUAAUCACAGUUUUAGUAUGCAAUACAAAAUUUCUCAAUUCUCUCUUCUCUCUUCCUAAAUUCAUCAUAUAUAUAUAUAUAUAUAUAUAUAUAUUCUAUUAUUAAAGUUACCUAAGUUUCAUAAGUGGUCCCUAAAUUAUAUUUCCUUAAAUCAAAACCAGACAAUUUAUUUUUAGCACAUAAAAAUCAUUAGACACUGACCAUUGUAUUCAAAAAUCACAAUGCUAAAAAAUUUUAAACUUGUGUAUUGUUAAGGGGAAUUUCAAUCUAUCUUAAUGAUGCUAAGGGAAUUGAAAAGCUUCUUUAAUGUAUCUAGGUUGGACACAAAUACAGUAAAAUCAAAUAUCUAUGGAGCGAAUAUGACAAGCCAAUGUGUAAAUAAUAUUUGUGAGUUGACUUGGUACCAAAAAGAGGCCUUACCUUUCAGAUAGAUAUCUCUCAAGAUAGAUAUACAUAAAUAUACAUAAUUUUUUCCGAAGUUAACGGAUGCACGUGUACACAAUCUAGAAGGGUGGGUCUGCCUCUAGCGAUGGGUGGAUCAUGUCUACGUGACACCCCAGAAAUUUUUUCGAACUAAGACUUGAACCAUCCUUCGUUGUGAGUAGGAUUUUUACCGAGCACGUCUCCGUCGACGUGCCUCUUUCAACGUGUUUUUUAAAAAUAAAAUUUAAAAAAUUAUUUCUUUUGUUCUUCUUUAAUUUAAUUAGUUUAUAAUUUUUUUUGAAAUAGAAUCCGUUUUAGCUAUAACUUUUAGUUUUAAAUUCAAAACUUAACGCUGAAGCGGGAAAAAAAGUAACUAACAACUUAAAUCAUGUUAAAAUUUAAUCAACUUGCUAAAUUCUACCUUUCUCUUAUUAUAUAAGAGACCGUUUGUGUUGAAGCAGACACGUCUCCGUCGACGUGCCUGCUUCAUCGUAUUUUUUUUUAAAAAAAAACUUAAAAUUUAUUUCUUUUUCUCUACUUUAAUUUAAUUAUUGUAUAAUUUUUUCGAAAUUAUGAAAUCAUUUUUAGCUAUGACUUUUAGUUUUAAAUUCAAGACUUCACGUUGAAGCAGGAUAAAAAGCAAUUAACUUAAAUCAUAUUAAAAUUUAUUCUACUUUCUAUAUUCUACCUAUGUCACAUAAAUUAAAUUAAAAAUAAAACUAAAAUAUUAGGCCCGUGCUAGCACGGGCACCUAUUUCUAGUAUAUAUAUAUAUAUAUAUAUAUAUAUAUAUAUGCGCAAGGACAAAGCCAUAAGUGUGUGAGGGCAUUUUUAUAUUAAUUUUAAUACGAUAUGUGGGACCUACAACGUGCUUUUCCUCAACCAUUUUUUUCUCGUUCCUGCUUUUCUCUUUCAUGUUUUGUUUCAUUUUCUAUCUUUUUAGUGGAGUAUCUAUUUUGAAACCAAUUUCAUUAUUACCUAAUUUUUAUUUUUGCUUAUCAUAAAAAUAAAAUUUUCUUUUGUCUUAUAUAUUUUAUUAAAUAAAAAAUAUAUUGUUUUUUUAAUAUUAUUGUAUCACUAAAUAAAUGCAUAAGAUAUUAAUAGUCAAACUUAAUAUUUUAAAACAUAAUUAAUAAAACAAAUUUAAUAAAAUAAACCUCUAACAAAAUACAAGUGAAUCUAUAUAUAAAAAGAAUUGUGAAAUACAUAUUAUUAAAUUAUAUAUUAAAUAUUUAAAUAUUAUUGGCAUAUAGAAAAUAUGAGUGUUACAACUAUAUUGUUGUUGUUGUUGUUAAUAAAAUAAACCUCUAACAAAAUACAGGUGAAUCUAUAUAUAAAAAGAAUUGUGAAAUACAUAUUAUUAAAUUAUAUAUUAAAUAUUUAAAUAUUAUUGGCAUAUAGAAAAUAUGAUUGUUGUUGUUGUUGUUAUUAUUAGGUAUUUGUCCAUAAAUUCUAAAUAUAUUUUUUGGUUGCAAUUGUUGGCAUUGAAGAUGAAGUUGUGUUGGUUAUAUAGUUUGUAAAGAAUAUUUAAAAUGAUGUUUUUUUAAUGUACUUAGGUAAAUUGUUAAAAGUAAAAAAUAGUCUAGAAAUAGAUUAUUAGAUGUUCAAGUUUUUUAAUAUAACUUCAAAUUGAAAAUAAAUUAUAUUUCAAAUUUUGAUGGCCAAACGUUGAUUUUAAAAUAAAUUGAAAUAUUAUUACGAAAAAAAUAAAUAUUUUUAUGUUCGAAUGGAUCCUAAAACUAGAAGUUGAAAAAUAUAUGAAACAUAAAGAUGAUUUUUUAAAGAAUGAUAAAUGAAAAAUAAAAGAAAAAGAAACAAAAAGAAUUUUAAUAGACAAUUUUCAAAAUAUAAAUAACCAUUCAAAUAAUUAAUUUCAAUUUUUUACGCUCACAACCUCUAAUUAUCUACAACAUGGGCUUGACACAUUUUAUAUAAAAUUAUCCAGCUCUAACUUAUAUAUUAAUCACAAAAAAUCCAUUGGAAAUUCACUAAUCGAAAAAGAACAACGGAUAAACUAAUCAGAUCGUCUAACUAAUUUGACACAGGUCUUCAGGAAGUUGAGAAUUUGGAUAGAGCAUUAGUAAUUCACAAGGACUAUCAAGGCUUACAUGGAGACAGCUUGGGAGGGCAGGAUGCUGUGGUGUUAGAUACGGUGGAGUUUGAGAAAGAGCCUCAUCUGCAUUUAGAAGAUGUUGAUAACAGAUACAGGUCAGACAAUAGUGAGGAGCUCCUUACUGGUUGCUCACCUGUCAAUCAAGAACAUAUGCACAAUGUUAGUAUGAUUAGUGCUGCUCAAAAUGCAAUAAUCAAGUUUUCAGGGGUAAUCAAACAAAGUUCUCCUAUCAAAGAACUUCAUGAUUUGGUUUCUCAUAAAAUUGUAGAUAAAGACAACACUUCAGUAGAGGUAACAAAUCAACAGCAAAAUGAUCUAGUAAUAAACAAGGAUGAAAAUGAAAACUACAGUGAUCAUGCACAGGUUGUAAAUAAUGCAGGAGGUUCCCCUCAAGGGAAAUCAAAGAAGAAGAAGACUAAAUCUCAAGGGGAUAAGCCUAUUAGGAUUAACCCUAUGAGGUCUGGUAGAGCUAUGUCAAAAUGAUCUUUAAAGCAUUAAUAUGGAAUAUUAGAUCAAUUAGAUCUAAACAUUCUUUCCAUAGAGUGCAAAUGCUUCAUAGACAUCACAAAUUUGAUUUGGUUGCCUUGAUGGAACCUUUUCAAGAGACUAGGCAGAUCCAACAGUAUAAAAGGAGACUAGGCAUGGCCUAUGCAAAUUAUAAUAUCAAUGGGAAGAUUUGGUUGUUUGUAAAGGAGGACAUUCAGGUGGAGGUUGUUUCAGAUUCUGAACAACAGUUGACUAUUAAGAUGUUAUUCCGUAGUGGAUAUCAGAUUGUUAGUACUCUUGUCUAUGCUAAGUGUACAACUGUUGAAAGAAUUCAAUUGUGGGAAGAUUUGUAUGUCAUUGGGCAAAAUAUGUAUUUCCCCUGGUGUGUUGGAGGGGAUUUUAAUAUUAUUAUGGAUGCCGAAGAAAAGAUAGGUGGUCUACCUGUCUAUCCUACUGAGGUGGAUGAUUUUGCAUUUUGUGUCAAUUCCUGUGAAUUAUUUGACAUUAAAUUCAAAGAUAGCCCUUUCACUUGGUGGAAUGGGAGGACGGAUGGUGAUUGUAUUUUUAAAAGAUUAGACAGGGUUGUAGGGAAUCAAGCAUUUUUGGAAGGGUUGGGUCAUGUGGAGUUAGAACAUCUAGCUAGGACAGGGUCAGAUCAUGCUCCUAUGUUGCUAUCUUGUGGAGUUAAAACUAUCCAGUUCCUCAAACCUUUUAGAUUCCUCAACUUUUGGUCUGAAAAGGAAGGGUUCAAAGACCUGAUUAGGCAAAAUUGGGUUGAUGAUCAUUCUGAUGAUGUGUUUGUUAAUUUAAAGCUCAAGAUGAAGAAGACUAAACUAGCUCUUUCUAAGUGGAGUAGAGAAAGUUUUGGGGAUAUUUUCAAACAAUUAGUUAUAAGGGAGGAUAUUCUGAAAAUCAAAGAAAAAUUGUUUGAGGAUGUUCCUUCUGAUGCUAAUAGAAUUAUCCUCAAUAGAGCUCAAGAAGAAUAUACAAAAUACUUGAAGUUUGAAGAGGAUUUCUGGACACAAAAGGCUGGGAUGCAAUGGUUCAUUGAAGGAGAUAGGAGCACUAAAUUCUUCCACAAUAUUGUAAGAGGAAGAAGAAGAUUAGAAAUAUCCAAAAUGCAUAAAGCUGAUGGUACAUGGGCUGAAGGAAGUGAAGUUGAGGGAGAGGCUGUAAAAUUCUUUCAAGAUCAAUUUUCCAGUGAUUUGCAGGAGUCUAGUCUACCCCUUGUGGAUUUAAUUCCCUCUUUGAUUAAGGAGGAAGAUAAUGCAAUGCUUAAUAGGAUUCCCUCUUCUGAGGAGGUUAGAAAGGUGGUCUUUGAACUUAAUGGAAAUAGUACAAGUGGACCUGAUGGUCUGACUGGACACUUCUAUCAAGUUUGCUGGGAUAUAGUAGGAGAUGAUGUUGUGAAGGUGGUACUUGCUUUUUUUGAUGGGAUGACUCUCCCUAAAUUCAUCACCCAUACCCACCUUGUGUUGAUUCCUAAGAAGGAGAAAGUGAUUUCAUUUGUUGAUCUAAGGCCUAUUAGUCUGAGAAACUUGAUUAAUAAUGUUAUUUCCAGAGUUGUUCAUGAUAGACUGGAAGUAUUCUUACCUACUCUUAUUUCUGCUAAUCAAUGUGGUUUUGUUAAAGGAAGAAGUAUUACAGAAAAUGUCCUACUUGCUCAGGAGAUUAUUGUGGAUAUCAGGAAGAAGAGUAAAACUACUAAUGUGGUGUUUAAACUUGACAUGGCUAAAGCAUAUGACAGGGUAGAUUAGAGCUUUUUGAUUAAAGUAUUGGAAAAAAUGGGCUUUAACACAGUAUUUAUUGAUAAAAUAUAGAGGCUGGUGGCCAACAAUUGGUAUUCUGUGUUGGUUAAUGGCCAAGCUUGUGGAUUUUUUCACUCAACUAGGGGUGUUAAACAAGGAGAUCCUUUAUCUCCUUCUUUAUUCAUUCUAACAGCUGAAGUCCUUACUAGGGCCCUUAAUAAUUUGUUCAGCUAUGCAGGGUAUCAAGGGUUUGGUCUUCCAAAGUGGAGUGAACAGAUUAAUCAUCUUGCCUAUGCUGAUGACACUAUCAUUUUUGCUAAGGCAGACAAAUUUUCUUUGAACUUGAUUAUGAGGACUUUACAAGAUUAUGAAUCCCAAUCUGGUAAAAAAUUCAAUAAAGAAAAGAGUGCAUAUUUUGUUUAUCACAAGGCAGCACAAAGUGACAUCCAGAUGAUAGAAGAGUGUAAUGGUUUUACCAAAGGUAAGUUCCCUCUAACUUAUCUUGGGUGCCCAAUUGGGCAUGGCAGGAAAAGGAAAACUCAAUUCUCUGAACUCAUUAAAAAGGUUCAAAACAAAAUUCAAGCUUGGAAAGGGAAGCUUCUGUCGUUUGAGGGUAAGUCUGUAUUGAUCACUAAUGUAUUACAGAGUGUUCCUAUAUAUCAGUCGUCUGCUAUCAUUCCUCCCAAAUGUGUCAUUCAUGAUCUUCAUAGAAUCUUUGCAAGAUUUCUAUGGAAUUUUAAGGAAGUAGGAAGAAAUAAACACUGGGUUUCCUGGAACAAUGUAUGCUUACCCAAAAAAGAAGGUGGUCUAGGAUUUAGAUCCUUAUUUGAUGUUUCAAGAGCUUUAUUUGCUAAACUAUGGUGGAAUUUUAGAACAAAAAAUACUAUGUGGUCCCAGUUUAUGUGGAAUAAAUACUGUAAAAGGCACAGACCACAAACAGUAGAGUGGAGAGGGGGUUCUCAAACCUGGAAAUAUAUGCUAGCUGCUAGAGAUUUUUUUGAUCAGGAAAUAUGGUGGCAACCAAAUGGUGGGCAUUCUAGUAUCAUGUUUGACAAUUGGACACAAUUAGGGGAUCUAUAUUACUACCUACCAGUGUCUAAUAAUAAUGAAUGGAUGCAUAGAGAUGUUGAUCAAUUAUUUCAUGAAGGGAGGUGGAAUGAAGAGCUCUUAAGGACCGUAUUCCCUGAGAAUGUUGUAAAUCAUAUUCUCAAUGAUAUUGAGAGAUUUCAGGAUUCAGAGGAAAGAGAUAUUCCUAGGUGGAUGUUAAACAACUCAGGGAAAUUCUCAAUGAAGUCUGCAUGGGACAAUAUCAGAAUCCCUGGAAUUGAGGAUGAUAGUUUUGCUAGGAUGUGAGAGAAGGGUGUACCUUUUAAAGUAUCUUUCUUUUUCUGGAGAUUAGCAAUGAAAAGGAUCCCUAUUGGUGAAGUCCUAGCCAGAUUUGAAACUGAGGAGGAGAUGGUGUGUUGCUGUUGUGAUCAGAUGGCUAAUGAAAGUUUUCAACACCUCUUUGUCUCCUGCCUUGCUGCUAAUCAAAUGUGGAGUAGUUUUACUAGAGCUGCUGGUGUAGAAGGUCCUUUUCUUCAGAUAAAGGACACAGUGUAUAAGUGGUGGAAUGCAACUUGUUCAGCUAAUCUUAGACCUCUAUUCAAUGCUAUACCUGGUCUAAUACUCUGGCAAAUUUGGAAAAAGAAGAAUAGAAUAAGACAUGGUGACAAAAUGAAUGUGCAAGGAAUGAUAAAUGGAAGUAAACAAGAACCUGCACAUGUUAGCUGUUUUUAGAUACCCUUGGCUGAGGAAUAUCCCUGAGGAUUGGCCAAAUUUGGUGCAUUUCUUUGAAGGAUAUAAACCAAUCUUAGUUCCUAAGGUCAUUCAUUGGAAACCUCCUAUGGAGGGGACCUAUAAAUGUAACUCAGAUGGAGUUUCUAAAGGAAAUCUUGGACAAAGUGCUGGUGGGUUUUGCAUCAGGGAUUGGAAAGGUGAAUUUAUAUUUGCUGCAACCUAUGAUCUUGGCAAAAGAACAGGUUUGCAGGCUGAAACUAGUGCCAUGGAGAAAGGUUUAAAUUAUUGUGUUACACAUAAUUUACUUCCUGUGUGUUUAGAGACGGAUUCACUGGUUUUGACCAAGAUUUUAAAUGGGGUAUUGGAGGUCCCUUGGAGCAUUAAAAUUCAGAUUCAGAAGAUUGAAUUUUUGAGAAACAAUAGGGAGGUUGCAGUGCUACAUACGCUCAGGGAAGGCAACAAAGUGGCAGACUACUUCACUAACUUUAUUUUUUCUUUUGCAGGUACAUAAAAUAAAACUUUCCAAUCAAUUCAAGAUGUACCAAAGGAAGGAAAAUCCUUAGUACUCAUGGAUGCAAAUCAGAUUCCAAACAUUUGAAUUACUAAAAUGCAAAAUAAACUCUAUGGUUUGUAGUUUCGAACUAUAAUCUUUGCACAAAAUGAAAUGCAAUUGCAGUAUAAGUCAAGCAGAGGAGAGAAAGGAAAUACCUAACAAAUAUACAUAGACUUUAGAUCCUAGCUUCUUAGACAGUGGUAUCAGUUCCCUCGGAGCUCAAUCUGUCAAGAGGCGAAGAUCUAAGGAAAAUGGUUUUCUACAAGGCACUGAUAUCUGGAGAAAGCUCCAAAGAAGAUAGAUCUGUACAGCAAUGUAAGGGCAAUGAAUAACAAUGUGAUAUUGAGAUUCUUGUUGAAUAAUCGAUAGGGAUGUGGGGGUUACCUCUCACACAGGAAAGGGACCAAUGUUUUGAGCUGAAGAAGUCUUCAACGGACAAGAAUACAUGGCGUUAGUGAGAUUUUUAACGUCUUGAUGUACUCUAUCCAAGCUCGAUGAUAUGAGUCUCUAGUUCCACAGUGAGUAAGGUCUAACUCCUAUCUCAUCAUUUGCACAAGGAUCUUUGAUGUAGGUCCACCAUAGCUGCCGGAGUCGAGAAGAGGUUGACGGAGGUCCACCAUUGAUGACGGAAGAUUUAGAGACAGUGGUGUCUUGACUAUAGGAGGGUUUUGUCUUUCCCCUUUUUAUUUGUUUUUUGUUUCCAUUUCUUGUUUCAGAUUUUGGAUUAGGCGUUUUGGGAC
This 12697-nucleotide long non-coding RNA is filed under the name Solanum tuberosum (potato). RNAcentral's name for it is "long non-coding RNA (STUB_LNC010708)". The record is from RNAcentral. Lineage: Eukaryota; Viridiplantae; Streptophyta; Magnoliopsida; Solanales; Solanaceae.